CAGCCGCCGCGGGAAUACGAAGGGGGCUAGCGUUGUUCGGAAUUACUGGGCGUAAAGGGCGCGUAGGCGGCCAUUCAAGUUAGAUGUGAAAGCCCUGGGCUCAACCUAGGAAUUGCAUUUGAUACUGUUUGGCUUGAGUUCGGGAGAGGUGAGUGGAAUUCCCAGUGUAGAGGUGAAAUUCGUAGAUAUUGGGAAGAACACCAGUGGCGAAGGCGGCUCACUGGACCGACACUGACGCUGAGGCGCGAAAGCGUGGGGAGCAAACAGGAUUAGAUACCCCCGUAGUCCCUGUCUAUUAUAA
RNAcentral lists this ribosomal RNA (301 nucleotides) under uncultured bacterium. RNAcentral's name for it is "partial 16S ribosomal RNA". It matches the Rfam family "Bacterial small subunit ribosomal RNA", at positions 509 to 809 of the family's 1533-position model. The record is from RNAcentral.